Molecule: ribosomal RNA, 253 nt
Filed under: uncultured bacterium
Lineage: Bacteria
Description: partial 16S ribosomal RNA
Rfam family: Bacterial small subunit ribosomal RNA
Source: RNAcentral
GACGGAGGGUGCUAGCGUUGUUCGGAAUUACUGGGCGUAAAGGGCGCGUAGGCGGCCUGGUCAGUCGGAUGUGAAAGACCGGGGCUUAACCCCAGAAAGGCGGUGGAAACUGAACAGCUAGAGAGAGGUAGGGGUAGAGGGAAUUCCCAGUGUAGCGGUGAAAUGCGUAGAUAUUGGGAAGAACAUCAGUGGCGAAAGCGCUCUACUGGACCUUAUCUGACAUUGAGGGACGAAAGCUAGGGGAGCGAAUGGG